UUUUGCAACUACAGCACAAUUGGCUUGUGACUUGUUCUUCUUUAUAUUGACUGUAUCUUUUUACAGUUGAUCAUUAACAGUGAUAGAGUAUCAUAGCAAACCUGAACUGACUGUUAGUCUACUGUACUCCUCACUAUUCUACUUCUUAUUAAUUCAAAUUGACAAUACUUGAGUAUAAAUACAAGAUGAUUGAUGUCUCUCAAUGGAGAGCAAGUAUUGGACUGUGGAACUACUGUCAAGCUGCCUCCAGUA
Molecule: long non-coding RNA, 252 nt
Organism: Amphimedon queenslandica
Lineage: Eukaryota; Metazoa; Porifera; Demospongiae; Haplosclerida; Niphatidae
Exons: 3
Source: RefSeq, a predicted model, not a curated record